RNAcentral lists this ribosomal RNA (403 nucleotides) under Verrucomicrobiota bacterium. Its description in RNAcentral is "Verrucomicrobia bacterium partial 16S ribosomal RNA". It matches the Rfam family "Bacterial small subunit ribosomal RNA", at positions 355 to 776 of the family's 1533-position model. The record is from RNAcentral. Lineage: Bacteria; Pseudomonadati; Verrucomicrobiota.
UGGGGAAUAUUGCACAAUGGGCGCAAGCCUGAUGCAGCAACGCCGCGUGAACGAUGAAGGUCUUCGGAUCGUAAAGUUCUGUUGCAGGGGAAGAUAAUGACGGUACCCUGUGAGGAAGCCCCGGCUAACUACGUGCCAGCAGCCGCGGUACUACGUAGGGGGCUAGCGUUAUCCGGAUUUACUGGGCGUAAAGGGUGCGUAGGUGGUCUUUCAAGUCGGUGGUUAAAGGCUACGGCUCAACCGUAGUUAGCCUCCGAAACUGGAAGACUUGAGUGCAGGAGAGGAAAGUGGAAUUCCCAGUGUAGCGGUGAAAUGCGUAGAUAUUGGGAGGAACACCAGUAGCGAAGGCGGCUUUCUGGACUGCAACUGACACUGAGGCACGAAAGCGUGGGUAGCAAACAGG